UACGUAGGGAGCAAGCGUUGUUCGGAAUUACUGGGCGUAAAGGGAGAGUAGGCGGAACGGUAAGUUAGAAGUGAAAUGUACGGGCUUAACCCGUAAUCUGCUUUUAAUACUGCCAUUCUUGAGUAUGGGAGAGGAUGAUAGAAUUCCAGGUGUAGCGGUGGAAUGCGUAGAUAUCUGGAAGAAUACCAGUUGCGAAGGCGGUCAUCUGGCCCAAUACUGACGCUGAGGCUCGAAAGCUAGGGGAG
Molecule: ribosomal RNA, 245 nt
Filed under: uncultured bacterium
Lineage: Bacteria
Description: partial 16S ribosomal RNA
Rfam family: Bacterial small subunit ribosomal RNA
Source: RNAcentral